RNAcentral lists this unclassified non-coding RNA (1010 nucleotides) under Hevea brasiliensis (rubber tree). The record is from RNAcentral. Lineage: Eukaryota; Viridiplantae; Streptophyta; Magnoliopsida; Malpighiales; Euphorbiaceae.
UCUUUUUAGUGGUAAAAAUAGAGUCUUCCUCAAAAAGUGAGGAGAUUAUUACAUCAUCAAGUUUCUCAAAGAUUACAUCAGAAAGACUCUGGAAAAGUAUUAAAAGUGACUUUAAGCACUUCAAUGGCUUGUUUUUAAAAGGACUCAGUAACAUCUUUCUCUGGUGUGGCAGGCAAAGUAAGGACAAUCUCCAUUGCUUUAAGAUACUCGUCAAUAAUGAGUAGCUACUCGGUUAGCCCUUCACCUUUCUUCUCCUCUUUGAUCAGCUUGACAAUGUUUGAGAAAAUUUCAAAACUCAGCUCCUCCUUUCUGAGAUACCAGAUGAGUUCAGGAUAGCCAUUUAGUGGAUGAUCCUCUUGAUCUUGGACAAAUGUUUCAUAUAAGGGAGGGAUAUGAUCACCAUCUCCUAUCAUUUUCUCAUCUUUAGUAGCCACAUAACAUAAGCCACUCUUAUUUUAUUGACCGCCGAACUCUGGCAAAGUAGUAGCUCUUUUGUAAGUUUUACCUAAUCCUGUUCCCUUUGUCCAAUUCAUCUUCUUUAUCAUUACUGAGACUCUCUUCCAUGCUCACUUAAACACUUGCUUGCUCGGCCUUGAUCAUACCAACCAUCUAAAAACCAUCCAUGUGUUGGCCAUGAGCUGCUACAAGGUUUACUACAUUGUUCUCCUCAGUAGAAACAGUGAUUACAAAACUACUCAUAGGCAGCUUGAUCUUCUAGUGCAGGGUUGAUGGAACUCCUCCUAAUGGGUGAUACCAUGGUCGACCCAAUAAUAAAGCAAAGGUUUCUGGUAUGUCACUCACGGUGAACUCAACCUCAGUCUCAAUUGGCCUAACCUUUAUAAUGGCAUUAAAAGUGCCUUCCACUACAUGUUUUGUAUCAUCAUAUGCUCUUAUAAUAGUAGAACCUAAAGGCCGGGAAGCAUAGAUUUGAGGGCAUUAGAACAUUGAAUUUACAUUGAAUUUUAAAAUUCAAUCUAAGGUUACAUACACCAUACAAAGUGUUUUAUAUG